CCUACGAGUGGCUGCAGUGAGGAAUAUUGGUCAAUGGGCGGAAGCCUGAACCAGCCAAGUAGCGUGCAGGAUGACGGCCCUACGGGUUGUAAACUGCUUUUAUACGGGAAUAACGCGCCUUACGUGUAGGGCUUUGCAUGUACCGUAUGAAUAAGGACCGGCUAAUUCCGUGCCAGCAGCCGCGGUAAUACGGAAGGCCCGGGCGUUAUCCGGAUUUAUUGAGUUUAAAGGGAGCGUAGGCCGCAUGUCAAGCGUGCUGUGAAAUGUCCGGGCUCAACCCGGGCCUUGCAGCGCGAACUGGCGUGCUUGAGUCCGCGGAAAGCAGGCGGAAUUCGUCGUGUAGCGGUGAAAUGCUUAGAUAUGACGAAGAACCCCGAUUGCGAAGGCAGCUUGCUGCAGCGGAACUGACGCUGAUGCUCGAAAGCGCGGGUAUCGAACAGGAUUAGAUACCCUUGUAGUC
RNAcentral lists this ribosomal RNA (460 nucleotides) under uncultured bacterium. RNAcentral's name for it is "partial 16S ribosomal RNA". It matches the Rfam family "Bacterial small subunit ribosomal RNA", at positions 338 to 795 of the family's 1533-position model. The record is from RNAcentral.